RNAcentral lists this unclassified non-coding RNA (253 nucleotides) under uncultured Rhodobacterales bacterium. RNAcentral describes it as "contains 16S-23S intergenic spacer region". It matches the Rfam family "Bacterial small subunit ribosomal RNA", at positions 524 to 776 of the family's 1533-position model. Lineage: Bacteria; Pseudomonadati; Pseudomonadota; Alphaproteobacteria; Rhodobacterales. The record is from RNAcentral.
UACGGAGGGGGCUAGCGUUGUUCGGAAUUACUGGGCGUAAAGCGCACGUAGGCGGAUCGGAAAGUUGGGGGUGAAAUCCCGGGGCUCAACCCCGGAACUGCCUCCAAAACUAUCGGUCUGGAGUCCGAGAGAGGUGAGUGGAAUUCCGAGUGUAGAGGUGAAAUUCGUAGAUAUUCGGAGGAACACCAGUGGCGAAGGCGGCUCACUGGCUCGGAACUGACGCUGAGGUGCGAAAGCGUGGGGAGCAAACAGG